This 340-nucleotide ribosomal RNA is filed under the name uncultured bacterium. RNAcentral's name for it is "bacterial SSU rRNA". It matches the Rfam family "Bacterial small subunit ribosomal RNA", at positions 330 to 687 of the family's 1533-position model. The record is from RNAcentral.
AAAACAGCCCUACGGGAGGCAGCAGUGGGGAAUAUUGGGCAAUGGAGGAAACUCUGACCCAGCCAUGCCGCGUGAAUGAUGAAGGCUUUAGGGUUGUAAAGUUCUUUCACCGAUGAAGAUAAUGACGGUAGUCGGAGAAGAAGCCCCGGCUAACUUCGUGCCAGCAGCCGCGGUAAUACGAAGGGGGCUAGCGUUGUUCGGAAUUACUGGGCGUAAAGCGAGCGUAGGUUGCUCGACAAGUCAGUGGUGAAAGCCCAGAGCUUAACUCUGGAACUGCCAUUGAAACUGUCGAGCUGGAAUCUCAGAGGGGGUAGCGGAAUUCCAAAUGUAGGGGUGAAAU